RNAcentral lists this ribosomal RNA (1400 nucleotides) under metagenome. RNAcentral's name for it is "SSU rRNA". It matches the Rfam family "Eukaryotic small subunit ribosomal RNA", at positions 360 to 1755 of the family's 1831-position model. The record is from RNAcentral.
AACGGAGAAUCAGGGUUCGAUUCCGGAGAAGGAGCUUGAGAAUUGGCUACUACAUCUAAGGAAGGCAGCAGGCGCGCAAUUACCCAAUCCCGAUUCGGGGAGGUAGUGACAAAAAAUAACAAUACCGGGCCUUUUUGGGCUUGGUAAUUGGAAUGAGGGAGAGUUAAACGGACCAUCGAGUAUCCAUUGGAGGGCAAGUCUGGUGCCAGCAGCUGCGGUAAUACCAGCUCCAAUAGCGUAUAUUAAAGUUGUUGCAGUUAAAAAGCUCGUAGUUGGACUUGUGUGCGCUGUCCGCGGGUGGCCUGCGCCCAAAAGGGCGUUUCGGUUCGGCCCCGGUGGCGCCUUGAAAUCUGCAGCUGGGGGGACGUUGGCCUUAACUGGUCGGCGACCGCACGCCGGCUGCUCGGUUACUGUGAGAAAAUUAGAGUGUUCAAGGCAGGCAUUGGGUGCAAUUGAAUACAUUAGCAUGGAAUAAUAAAAUAUGGCUCCUGCCGUAUUUUGUUGGUUUUGACUGGUGGGAGUAAUGAUUGAUAGGGACGGUUGGGGGUGCUAGUAUUGAGCGGCCAGAGGUGAAAUUCAUGGAUUCGCUCAAGACUAACUUAUGCGAAAGCAUUCACCAAGGACGUCCUCUUUAAUCAAGAACGAAAGUUGGGGGAUCGAAGACGAUCAGAUACCGUCGUAGUCUCAACCAUAAACUAUGUCGACUUGGGAUCGGCGGUAGUUUUUUCAUUAAGACACUGUCGGGACCACGGGAGAAAUCAAAGUGUCUGGACUCUGGGGGAAGUAUGGUCGCAAGGCUGAAACUUGAAGGAAUUGACGGAAGGGCACCACCAGGAGUGGAGCCUGCGGCUUAAUUUGACCCAACACGGGGAAACUUACCAGGUCCAGAGAUGUAGAGGAUUGACAGAUUGAAGCUCUUUCUUGAUCACUUCGGUGGUGGUGCAUGGCCGUUCUUAGUUGGUGGAGUGAUUUGUCUGGUUAAUUCCGUUAACGAACGAGACCUCAGCCUGCUAGUGUAGUCGGCUGGAUUGCCUUUGGCGAUCCGUGAUUUCGACUUCUUAGAGGGACAAUCGACGCGCAGUCGAUGGAAGUUUGAGGCAAUAACAGGUCUGUGAUGCCCUUAGAUGUUCUGGGCCGCACGCGCGCUACACUGCUGGGCUCAGCGAGUUUUACUUGGCCGAGAGGCCCGGUUAAUCUUGUGAAAUCCCAGCGUGCUUGGGCUCGCCUCCUGCAACUGGAGGCGCCAACGAGGAAUUCCUAGUAGACGCAGGUCAUCAACCUGCAUCGAUUACGUCCCUGCCCUUUGUACACACCGCCCGUCGUUCCAUAAGAGUGAGGCAUCCGGUGAAUUCUCGGGAGAGCCUGGGCGUGGCCAGCAAUGGUCUGCUCGGGUUUGAACU